RNA transcript from Neolamprologus brichardi, 1182 nucleotides. It is a transcript of the gene named sterile alpha motif domain containing 10a, with no coding region annotated. The record is from RefSeq and is a predicted model, not a curated record. NCBI's taxonomy places the organism in Eukaryota, Metazoa, Chordata, Actinopteri, Cichliformes, Cichlidae.
CAGUCUUCUGCAACUUCGGCUUCACAGACAGCAGCAGUGACACCGAGGACGACGUGAACUGGUUUUAAGACGUGGUUGUUUGUUUCUUUGUUUUUUUAAAUCCCCACUUAGCCCAGCAGCUCAGGUCAGAGGAUGUGGAGCGUCGCUGCUCCUGCCAGACCUCAGUGAAACUUUUGUCGGUGAGCGGAGCGCACACAGAGGGGAAGAGCUGGACCCGCAGCCCGUGUGUCGGUCACCGGAGAAGAUGGGAGACUUCCACUAGGCUGUCUCCGAGAAAACAUCAUGGCUGUAGACGCUGCAUCCAGUUUCAGUUUCUGCAGGCCAGCUGUGGAGUAUAGGGCUCUGCCCGAGGACUUUAAGCACCAGCUGAGUCGACGGACAGGUGGGAACCUGACCUGGCAUGACGGCCGCGGACAGAAGACAGCGGGAGGCAGAACAGUGAAGCUGCUACAGCAGCCGGGGACCGAGGCCCUGCAGUACCGCUCCAGUGACAAUUAUGGGAUAUAUCACACGAGCCCAACACAGCCCAGCCUGAUCCGUCCUGUUGUUCUUUGGUCUCAACAAGAUGUGUGCAAGUGGCUGAAGAAACACUGUCCACACAACUACCUGACCUAUGUGGAAGCGUUCUCCCACCACGCCAUCACAGGCCGAGCGUUACUGCGCCUGAAUGGGGAGAAGCUGGAGCGCAUGGGUUUAGUGCAGGAGACACUUCGACAGGAGCUGCUGCAACAAGUGCUGCAGCUCCAGGUGCAGGAGGAGGGACGCAACCUGCAGCUGCUCAGCAGAGAAACCGUCAGACCUCCACAGUGUUGUUCAGAUGGACUUGUUUUGUCUGCAGAUUCCCAAAAGAUAAAGUUAAAAGGCAUUCAUGAACCACAGCACUGAAGAUAACAGACUCAAGACAUGACAAGUAUGGGAGUAUUCCUGUUGGUCGAAAAAGCAUCUGCAGAGAGCUGUAAUAUUGAGUUAUUAUUGUGUUUUAUAAUUAUGUUGUUUAAAUAUUCCAGUUAUCAACAGAAUAUAAGCCUUUUGUACAGUUCUGACAUUUAUAGCUAACCAGAACAGUUUAAUCACUUGUAAAUUCAGAGGGUUGGGAUAUAUCGAGCGGUGAAAGCUUAUUAUUGCACCUGUAAAAAAAAAAGUUUAAAAAACUUGCUAUUAAAAGUUAAAAAAAAAUAUCCG